RNAcentral lists this ribosomal RNA (442 nucleotides) under uncultured bacterium. Its description in RNAcentral is "partial 16S ribosomal RNA". It matches the Rfam family "Bacterial small subunit ribosomal RNA", at positions 338 to 795 of the family's 1533-position model. The record is from RNAcentral.
CCUACGGGUGGCAGCAGUGGGGAAUAUUGGGCAAUGGGCGAAAGCCUGACCCAGCAACGCCGCGUGAAGGAAGAAGGCUUUCGGGUUGUAAACUUCUUUUGACAGGGAAGAGCAGAAGACGGUACCUGUCGAAUAAGCCACGGCUAACGACGUGCCAGCAGCCGCGGUAAUACGUAGGUGGCAAGCGUUGUCCGGAUUUACUGGGUGUAAAGGGCGUGUAGCCGGGCUGACCAGUCAGAUGUGAAAUCCGGGGGCUCAACCCCCGAACGGCAUUUGAAACUGUUGGUCUUGAGUAUCGGAGAGGCAGGCGGAAUUCCUAGUGUAGCGGUGAAAUGCGUAGAUAUUAGGCGGAACACCAGUGGCGAAGGCGACUUUCUGGACGAUAACUGACGUUGAGGCACGAAAGUGUGGGGAGCAAACAGGAUUAGAUACCCGUGUAGUC